UAAACUCGACAUUAGCGCCACGGAGACUGA
Molecule: small RNA, 30 nt
Filed under: Bombyx mori (domestic silkworm)
Lineage: Eukaryota; Metazoa; Arthropoda; Insecta; Lepidoptera; Bombycidae
Description: piRNA piR-bmo-1920095
Source: RNAcentral